GAUGAACGCUGGCGGCGUGCCUAAUACAUGCAGGUCGAGCGAACAGACGAGGAGCUUGCUCCUCUGACGUUAGCGGCGGACGGGUGAGUAACACGUGGAUAACCUACCUAUAAGACUGAGAUAACUUCGGGAAACCGGAGCUAAUACCGGAUAAUAUAUUGAACCGCAUGGUUCAAUAGUGAAAGACGGUUUUGCUGUCACUUAUAGAUGGAUCCGCGCCGCAUUAGCUAGUUGGUAAGGUAACGGCUUACCAAGGCGACGAUGCGUAGCCGACCUGAGAGGGUGAUCGGCCACACUGGAACUGAGACACGGUCCAGACUCCUACGGGAGGCAGCAGUAGGGAAUCUUCCGCAAUGGGCGAAAGCCUGACGGAGCAACGCCGCGUGAGUGAUGAAGGUCUUCGGAUCGUAAAACUCUGUUAUUAGGGAAGAACAAAUGUGUAAGUAACUAUGCACGUCUUGACGGUACCUAAUCAGAAAGCCACGGCUAACUACGUG
Molecule: ribosomal RNA, 497 nt
Filed under: uncultured bacterium
Lineage: Bacteria
Description: partial 16S ribosomal RNA
Rfam family: Bacterial small subunit ribosomal RNA
Source: RNAcentral